Non-coding RNA from Echinostoma caproni, 82 nucleotides. NCBI's taxonomy places the organism in Eukaryota, Metazoa, Platyhelminthes, Trematoda, Plagiorchiida, Echinostomatidae. The record is from Rfam.
GGCCUCGUGGCUCAGCUGGCAGAGCAUGCGCGUACAAAGCGUAGGUUGCUUCAAUGCGUGGUUUCGAAUCCCACCGAGGCUA